This 546-nucleotide long non-coding RNA is filed under the name Aedes aegypti (yellow fever mosquito). RNAcentral describes it as "lncRNA AAEL027945". The record is from RNAcentral. Lineage: Eukaryota; Metazoa; Arthropoda; Insecta; Diptera; Culicidae.
UACCGAACAUUCAGUGAUAGCUGAAUCGUACACUGAGCCAAUUAAUCCGAUUAUAUUUAUCUGGAAUAUCAUAUACACGCAUCAGAAUUCAUAUUUGAUAGGUUUUAUUAACACCCAAUAAAGACUAUAUGAAGGUCCAACGAGGUUUAAAUAAUAACCAUAUGAAAGCCGUUUGAAUUUCACAUAUAACUUAUUGGAUAUCGUUUACCCGUUCGGUAAUUGAAAAAUCAGAUACAUGUUAUAUGAUUUUAUAUUGUGAAAAAAAUCUGUUUAUAUUUAGUACUACGAUGGCGGCCACUGCAUACAAUUUGGUAGCAGAUUUUGGUUUAACGACGAGCUUUUGCAAAUUUGUAACGAAUGUGAAACCAUUAUUUGCGAGCAUUUACCUUGCUCGCUGAAGAAAUUCGCUGCUGAUUCUAUACAACUGAGAACUUUCUAAAGUUGUGUUUGACGAUAUCUAGGUGAGAUGUUUUAUUCGGCAGUUAGUUUUGUGCUUAAAUUUUGUUAACAUGGUUCCAUUGUUUUAGAUUUUUGUACCGACCAUCC